GACGAACGCUGGCGGCGUGCUUAACACAUGCAAGUCGAACGAAGUGGCGAACGGGUUAGUAAUACGUGGGUAACCUGCCCUCCUUUUUGGGAUAAGCCUUGGAAACGGUGUCUAAUACCGAAUAAAGGGGGAUGGGCUCGCGGCCUAUCUGCUUGUUGGUGGGGUGAUGGCCUACCAAGGCGGUGACGGGUAGCCGGCCGGAGAGGGUGAACGGCCACAUGGGGACGGAGAGACGGCCCAGACUCGUACGGGAGGCAGCAGUGGGGGAUAUGGCAAAAUGGGGGACAGGCUGAUGCAGCGACGCCGUGUGGGGGAUGAAGGCUUUCGGGUUGUAAAACUCUGUCGCUUUCGAACGGGUAGGUGGAGAGGAAGCCACGGCUAACUACGUGUCAGCAGCCGCGGUAAUUC
Molecule: ribosomal RNA, 408 nt
Filed under: uncultured bacterium
Lineage: Bacteria
Description: partial 16S ribosomal RNA
Rfam family: Bacterial small subunit ribosomal RNA
Source: RNAcentral